UUGUGAUGAAAGUAUUGUCUAUGUUAAUUCCUGAUAGAGCUGGAGUAAAAUACUUUAGAACUUAAAUGGUUAGAUUUGUGCUUUGCUUUGGCCAUGCUAUGCUCUCCUAUUCAUUAGUGUCAUUUGCUUUGACAGCUGAAACAAACGCUACAACAUUUGAGCCCAGCUUCAGUCUUCCCUGCUGUUGAACUGAACAAUAAGCUUCUCAUGACUUGAGCAGGUGUUGAGUUCUUGAGCAUAAACAAGUGUUAAUGGACGUCUUUGACUUCAAGAAGCAUACACAGCAGAGGUGUUGUUUGGACUUGGAAGGAUCAUGCAAAGCAUUAGGAAGCAGCCUAGUAGAAAACAGCUGUGCAAUUUGAGGCAGGGUCAGUCUCAUAUUUUGGAGAGGGCUUACCUCUUACCUUCAUGCAAACGCAGGGCAUACGUGUCAAACCACCAGCAGCUUCCAGUUCUGUGAGAACAGCGAAUCCCAUCAGCGUGUGCUGAGAGCGGUAAAGCGUGAACAGGGAGAGUGGAAGCCUAGAGCAGCAGCCCUUGACCUCUGGCUCGCAGGUAACAAGCUCCCGGAAAGCCCUCCACUUCAGUUCAUGCUCCGCUUGACAUAACUACCCCUUGGCUGAAGGGAGAUGGUAUCUGCAGCACGUGGCUCACUGGGUAAAGCUGAGCAGGGACCGCAGAAGGGUGAUAACCUGUGCUCUAAAACCAUUGGGAAGGCUCCUGUCGUGUCCUUGGAAGGCCCUUCCACUUUCUGCAGUUAACUAGGUGGUACCGGUACCACUAAAGUGAUACCAGGCAAUUGCAUCCUGCUAAGGAAUCUCUUCUCUUGGAAUGGGCUCAUAUUUUGCUGCCUCCUCCUCAAACUUUGCUGCCCUUUUCAGUUUUGUAAUCCCCUGAUCAGUAAUCCUUGGUUUCCCCCCCACCACCCUUGCUUAAAAGCUUGCUUUCAGUUUAGUUGCCAGUCUGCUGCCUUCUUGUAGAUGGUGUCUUGUGUCCAAAAUCUGGCUUCGUUUGUAAAAGCAGUCCCGGGGGAGACAGUUUUGGGUAGAGAUUUGUUCUAAGCAGCCUUUUCGGAGCAGCUUCCCCUCUCCUAGGACCGCGGCCGUGCAGCUGCGCUGUAUUAGCCGCUUUUCG
Molecule: long non-coding RNA, 1134 nt
Filed under: Apteryx owenii (little spotted kiwi)
Lineage: Eukaryota; Metazoa; Chordata; Aves; Apterygiformes; Apterygidae
Description: lncRNA (ENSAOWG00000004827.1)
Source: RNAcentral